CUGGCUUAAAGAAGACGUUGCCGAAAGCAGAGGCACCGGUUUUCAGAACAAAUUAAACAAUUCCCCCUGCCUCGAGAAACAAAACAGCGUAAUGUGUUGUAGGAGAUUGUAGGGACCUCCUCUCCCUCUCAUCACCCGGUGUGCCAGAGGAAGCCACAGGGCCAGCAAUGUGUUCUGCCAACUCGUAUUCUCAUUCUCCUCGAGACAUGAAGUCUAUAAUUAUAAUGUGGAAUACAAGGGUGGAUCUAUAUUUAAGAAAGAAAGAAAGAGGAAAUAAAAAAAAAUAAAUAAAUAAAGAGAG
RNAcentral lists this small RNA (301 nucleotides) under Histoplasma ohiense. RNAcentral's name for it is "hypothetical lncRNA". Lineage: Eukaryota; Fungi; Ascomycota; Eurotiomycetes; Onygenales; Ajellomycetaceae. The record is from RNAcentral.